ACCUGGCUGGCUCAGUCAGUAGAGCAUGUGAUUCUUGAUCUCAGGGUCAUAGUUCAAUUCCUAUGUUGGGGU
Molecule: transfer RNA, 72 nt
Filed under: Canis lupus familiaris (dog)
Lineage: Eukaryota; Metazoa; Chordata; Mammalia; Carnivora; Canidae
Also listed under: 1 other name
Rfam family: tRNA
About the family: Transfer RNA (tRNA) molecules are approximately 80 nucleotides in length.
Source: Rfam by way of RNAcentral